GAUGAAGAACGCAGCGAAAUGCGAUACGUAAUGUGAAUUGCAGAAUUCAGUGAAUCAUCGAAUCUUUGAACGCACAUUGCACUCUCUGGUAUUCCGGAGAGUAUGCUUGUUUGAGUAUCUGUAAACAUCUCAAAUCUCUCUUCAAUUGCUUCAAUUGGGUCGAGAGAAUUGGAUUUGAGCGAUCCCGACUCCUUCGUCAGAAAGAGGAGGGUCGCUUGAAAUGCAGGUGCAGCUGGACAUUCUUCUGAGCAAAAAGCAUAUCUAUUUAGUCCCGUCAAACGGAUUAUUACUUUUGCUUCAGCUAAUAUAAAGGUUGAAUGAACUACCAACGCUGAUUGCAGGAAAACAUGUUUGUUUAUUCGGACUUGUAAACUCGAUCUCAAAUCAAGUAAGACUACCCGCUGAACUUAAGCAUAUCAAUAAGCGGAGGA
Molecule: unclassified non-coding RNA, 431 nt
Filed under: soil metagenome
Description: partial contains 5.8S ribosomal RNA, internal transcribed spacer 2, and large subunit ribosomal RNA
Rfam family: 5.8S ribosomal RNA (bases 1-120)
Source: RNAcentral